This 476-nucleotide ribosomal RNA is filed under the name uncultured Rhodoferax sp. RNAcentral describes it as "bacterial SSU rRNA". It matches the Rfam family "Bacterial small subunit ribosomal RNA", at positions 902 to 1382 of the family's 1533-position model. The record is from RNAcentral. Lineage: Bacteria; Pseudomonadati; Pseudomonadota; Betaproteobacteria; Burkholderiales; Comamonadaceae.
CAAAGGAAUUGACGGGACCGCACAAGACGGUGGAUGAUGUGGUUUAAUUCGAUGCAACGCGAAAACCUUACCCACCUUGACAUGUACGGAACCUUUAGAGAUAGAGGGGUGCUCGAAAGAGAGCCGUAACACAGGUGCUGCAUGGCUGUCGUCAGCUCGUGUCGUGAGAUGUUGGGUUAAGUCCCGCAACGAGCGCAACCCUUGUCAUUAGUUGCUACAUUCAGUUGGGCACUCUAAUGAGACUGCCGGUGACAAGCCGGAGGAAGGUGGGGAUGACGUCAAGUCCUCAUGGCCCUUAUAGGUGGGGCUACACACGUCAUACAAUGGCUGGUACAAAGGGUUGCCAACCCGCGAGGGGGAGCCAAUCCCAUAAAGCCAGUCGUAGUCCGGAUCGUAGUCUGCAACUCGACUACGUGAAGUCGGAAUCGCUAGUAAUCGUGGAUCAGAAUGUCACGGUGAAUACGUUCCCGGGUCUU